AUACAUAGUUACAUAGCUGAAAAGAGACUUGCGUCCAUCAAGUUCAGCCUUCCUCACAUUUGUUUUUUGCUGUUGAUCCAAAAGAAGGCAAAAAAAAAAAAAAACUGUUUGAAGCAUUUCCAAUUUUGCAACAAGCUAGGAAAAAAAUCCUUCUUGACCCCAGAAUGGCAGUCAGAUUUAUCCUUGGUUCGAGAAGCUACAUUGAAAAAUGAUAUCCUUGAAUAUUCUGUUUUGCAAGUAUGCAUCUAGUCGCUGUUUGAACAUCUGUAUGGACUGAUAAAACCACUUCUUCAGGCAGAUAAUUCCACAUCCUUAUUGUUCU
Non-coding RNA from Pelobates cultripes (western spadefoot toad), 322 nucleotides. The record is from the annotation of a GenBank genome assembly. Lineage: Eukaryota; Metazoa; Chordata; Amphibia; Anura; Pelobatidae.